RNAcentral lists this unclassified non-coding RNA (200 nucleotides) under Saitozyma sp. RNAcentral describes it as "partial internal transcribed spacer 2". Lineage: Eukaryota; Fungi; Basidiomycota; Tremellomycetes; Tremellales; Trimorphomycetaceae. The record is from RNAcentral.
UUAAGUUCAGCGGGUAGUCCUACCUGAUUUGAGGUCAGAGUCAAAAAUUGCCCGAGGGCGAUUGUAAGCAGUCAUCACAACCUUCACCGACGAAACUUAUUACGCCGACUACGGUGCUAUCCCGCUAACUCAUUUGAGGUGAGCCACAACUAAAGCAGCAACACCCAAGUCCACCGCUCCUAAUCCAAAACGAAUUAGAA